CACCAAGGCUCCGGCCCCGGCGCCCAAGGCCAAGGCCUCCCCGCCCCCGGCCUCCCCUGCCCCCGUCGAGGCUCCCGUAGCCUCACCACCUUCCCCCGCCGCGGAGGCACCCGCCACCAUCCCCACCAAGCCCGACGCCCCCGCGCCGGCGCCGGCCAAGAAGAAGAAGCCCUCCCCGCCCGCCAAGAAGAAGAAGAAGAGCUCCAAGGCCCCCGCCCCGGCUCCCGUCGCCGAGUCCCCCAAGCACUCCAAGUCCAAGGCUAAGGCCCCCGCCGCCUCGUCCGCCGCCGACGCCCCCGGCCCCGCCGGCGACGGAGUCGCCGCCGACACCACGGGAGCGGCAGGGAGGACCAGCGUGCAGACGAUCGCGUCGGCGUGCGCCGUGGCCGCGCUCGGCCUCGUCGCCGUCCUCGCCUAGAGAACGCGAGGCGCCGGAGCCCAGCACGACGGCGGCAAGAUGCAGCAGCCGGCCGGCGUCGCGCCGUCGCCGUCGCCGUCGCCGCCGCUUUUUUGCGCUGUGUCUUCCUCGUCGAUUCUUUUGCGUGGCUCCACCACCACUCCUCAUCAGCCAGCCACGUUUGAUGAUUGAACGAACGAUCUUGCCCUGAUGCCUCGGAUUCUUUUGUUUCUUGUUACUCCCUUCUCUCUUCUGCUGCUACUACCACGAUAUGACUCUGCCCUUGUACUGUACCACUGAGAUUUAUUUUUAAUUUAUGUUGCUGUCAUCAUGGUUAUCAUCA
Molecule: long non-coding RNA, 740 nt
Organism: Oryza brachyantha (malo sina)
Lineage: Eukaryota; Viridiplantae; Streptophyta; Magnoliopsida; Poales; Poaceae
Exons: 2
Source: RefSeq, a predicted model, not a curated record